This is a long non-coding RNA of Hydractinia symbiolongicarpus, 1064 nucleotides long. RefSeq lists it as uncharacterized. The transcript is spliced from 2 exons. The record is from RefSeq and is a predicted model, not a curated record. NCBI's taxonomy places the organism in Eukaryota, Metazoa, Cnidaria, Hydrozoa, Anthoathecata, Hydractiniidae.
UGCAUUCAGAAUAGACAUCGUAACUACGUCAGAGGAAAAAUAUAAAUUAUACCGAAUAGAUUUUCAUAACGGCAUGAAAAUCUAUCCGGUGUAAUGUGAACAUGGUCUAAGCCUCGUUUUUGAUAUCGCACAACAUUCCACAAUGAAAGAUAACGCAAAGGGAAGCAUGCGUAUUUUUGUGAACAAGAAACAAAGAUUGUGUUAUGUUAUGACUGACUCACAAAUUAAAAAUUAACCAGCAAAGAAAUUUCAACAACGAUAAUUAAUUCAUGGACCUGAAAAUAUAAAUCAGUCGACAACACCUGCGCAAACGACACCAAUGAUGACAAUGAAUAAUUCAACAAUCUUCAAAUGAAAAGUUAAUCAAAAAUUACUCAUGACGGUGACGAUUAAGAGAACUCUGAAUAAGACAACGCCUACUAAUUGAGACCAAUGGACAAUACCGCAAAGUUCGAAAAAAACAAUAAAUACCCCACUUCCCCUCUGAAAAUGAUGCGUGUGAUUGAAACAAAGCCCGCCACGAGAGUGGUUGUUUUGUGAUUGGAACGAAGUCCGUCUCGAGAGCGGUUGUUUUGUGAUUGGACCAAAAUCCGCCACUAGAGCGGGUGUGUGGUUUGAACGAUUGACGAAGGUAGUAUUAUUGACGUCGCGCUGUAACUUCGGAAAAUUAAACGUAUCAGACAUACCUUUUUCGGCGACAUCAGAGAAAAAUGAAGAUAUCCACCUUGCUUGUUACAGACACACACGGAGACACAUUCAGCGUAUUAUUAUAGAGAUCUAUCUAUCUCUUCCGAGAAAUAUUACCUUCAACCAGCGAAAUAUUACCUUCAGCCAGCACCUCGCAAGCUCGAUCUAUGCUUUUGACCUCUGGUAAUUUCUUGCGAAAUUUCUUGGUAUAGAUAGACAAAACAGUUUGUAUUGUAUUACUAUAUACAGUUUUUUUCAUACGUAACUUUAAUUUUAUAAUGAGUUUAUAAUGAGAAAAAAGUAGUUUUUGGUUGUAAUGACAUGAUAUACUUUUUUAUGUGAAAUAUUCUACGCCACUAAAGGGCACUAAAAUGGUA